Non-coding RNA from Drosophila melanogaster (fruit fly), 339 nucleotides. The record is from Ensembl. NCBI's taxonomy places the organism in Eukaryota, Metazoa, Arthropoda, Insecta, Diptera, Drosophilidae.
CUAAUCCACCAUCUCAUAACCAAGAUGAAUCUAUAUCUGGCUUUCAUUCUGGCUUCAAUUUCUGGGAUUUCGUGUGCUCCGCAGACUGAAGGUGGUUCCGCUCCCUAUAUAUAUGUGUGUAAUCCACCGAAUCCUGCCUGUCUGCUCUAUAAGCAAUUUAAUGAUACAAGAACCUAGAAAAACAUAGUGAAUAUAAGUAAAGUAUGGAAGACCUUAAGGUUAUAUACCUAAAGUGAGUUUAAAUAAACGUGUCACAAGUGUUCUAAUUUCGCUUAGCUUGGAAAGAAAUCAAUAUUACUAAUGUAACUAUUAAAUACUGAAUUUAUAAACGAUACUCGU